This 497-nucleotide ribosomal RNA is filed under the name uncultured bacterium. Its description in RNAcentral is "partial 16S ribosomal RNA". It matches the Rfam family "Bacterial small subunit ribosomal RNA", at positions 28 to 507 of the family's 1533-position model. The record is from RNAcentral.
GAUGAACGCUGGCGGCGUGCCUAAUACAUGCAAGUCGAGCGAACGGACGAGAAGCUUGCUUCUCUGAUGUUAGCGGCGGACGGGUGAGUAACACGUGGAUAACCUACCUAUCAGACUGGGAUAACUUCGGGAAACCGGAGCUAAUACCGGAUGAUAUUUUGAACCGCAGGGUUCAAAAGUGAAAGACGGUCUUGCUGUCACUUAUAGAUGGAUCCGCGCUGCAUUAGCUAGUUGGUAAGUUAACGGCCUACCAAGGCAACGAGGCAUAGCCGACCUGAGAGGGUGAUCGCCCACACUGGAACUGAGCCACGGUCCAGACUCCUACGGGAGGCAGCAGUAGGGAAUCUUCCGCAAUGGGCGGAAGCCUUACGGAGCAGCGCCGCGUGAGUGAUGAAGGUCUUCGGAUCGUAAAACUCUGUUAUUAGGGAAGAACAUAUGUGUAAGUAACUGUGCACAUCUUGACGGUACCUAAUCAGAAAGCCACGGCUAACUACGUG